GACGAACGCUGGCGGCGUGCCUAAUACAUGCCAGUAGAACGCUGAAGGAGGAGCUUGCUUCUCUGGAUGAGUUGCGAACGGGUGAGUAACGCGUAGGUAACCUGCCUGGUAGUGGGGGAUAACUAUUGGAAACGAUAGCUAAUACCGCAUAAUAGCAGUUGUUGCAUGAUAACUGUUUGAAAGGUGCAAUUGCACCGCUACCAGAUGGACCUGCGUUGUAUUAGCUAGUUGGUGGGGUAACGGCUCACCAAGGCGACGAUACAUAGCCGACCUGAGAGGGUGAUCGGCCACACUGGGACUGAGACACGGCCCAGACUCCUACGGGAGGCAGCAGUAGGGAAUCUUCGGCAAUGGACGGAAGUCUGACCGAGCAACGCCGCGUGAGUGAAGAAGGUUUUCGGAUCGUAAAGCUCUGUUGUAAGAGAAGAACGAGUGUGAGAGUGGAAAGUUCACACUGUGACGGUAUCUUACCAGAAAGGGACGGCUAACUACGU
RNAcentral lists this ribosomal RNA (494 nucleotides) under uncultured bacterium. RNAcentral describes it as "partial 16S ribosomal RNA". It matches the Rfam family "Bacterial small subunit ribosomal RNA", at positions 28 to 506 of the family's 1533-position model. The record is from RNAcentral.